UGGUUGUUGUUAGAGUCUAUACAUUUAGUAUGGACUCAACCACACUAGAAUAUCAUCAUUCAUCACUUUCUUUCAUUCAUUAAUUUGAAGGACCUUUCUUAUUUUAUACAUCAUACACACACAAAAACAUAUAUGAAUUAAAAGUUAUUCAACUUGUUUUGUGUUACACCUUGUAUGUGACACCCUUUUGUUGCACAAACUUCUUUUAACAUCACGACUGCAUGCACUAUACUAAUUGUUUCCAUAACAAAUGUCUUUUUCAUGUUGCUGUUGUUGCACUAGGUGCGUACUAGCAUUUGUUCUAAUCAAACUUCUUGAUGUUUUGCAGGAAUUAUUGUUAAAUGUAACUUUUAAAAUUUGUAUAUGAAAAUGCAUAUCAAUAUGUUAAAUUUUAAACUGUACAUUUUUUCUUCUUAAAAAAUCAAUUCAGAUCAAGCAGUUUGGUUUCAGUUUAAUUUUAACUUUAAAAUUGCACCGAACUAAAUCGUAAAAAAUUUCGAUUUCACUCAAAACUGUACCGAAACGAACCAUUCGCACCCUAAUUCAUUACUCUAUUCGAGAUUCCCAAACGCUCAAUGAAACCCUUGUGAGAAACCCCAAUUCACCAGUCCAAUCCAUCGAUACUCCGCUACAAGUUGAAUAUCCAACGAACCAUCGGCUGCUGUGACCUUUGCACCGGCGCCGACCAGCUCCGCUACAAGCUCUGCGCCUCUCCGCCUCAAGGCCUCAUUUGUUUCAGCAAACGGUUCCUCGCCUCCUCUCAGCUCCGCGAGCCUUCUGCCUCCUCUGGCUCUGUCCAGUACUGGUCCUGGUCCAAGCCGCAAGGUGAUGUCAAGAGCUUCCCAGAAUAACCGAUCAAUCCACUCGCUGCAAACAGCGAAGGCAUGUACUUAUCGAUUGUUUCUCGAUAGCAUUUUUGUUCAAUCUGCCGAACUUUACUAAUUUGUUUAGUAUUUACAUAAAAUGUGCACUGUACUCCGCAGGUCCAGUGAAUGAUAUCUUUGCAUUAUACUGUA
Pyrus x bretschneideri (Chinese white pear) is the source of this 1016-nucleotide long non-coding RNA. RefSeq lists it as uncharacterized. Lineage: Eukaryota; Viridiplantae; Streptophyta; Magnoliopsida; Rosales; Rosaceae. The record is from RefSeq and is a predicted model, not a curated record. The transcript is spliced from 2 exons.